Molecule: ribosomal RNA, 433 nt
Filed under: uncultured bacterium
Lineage: Bacteria
Description: partial 16S ribosomal RNA
Rfam family: Bacterial small subunit ribosomal RNA
Source: RNAcentral
AACGAACGCUGGCGGCAUGCCUAACACAUGCAAGUCGAACGAGACCUUCGGGUCUAGUGGCGCCCGGGUGCGUAACGCGUGGGAACCUGCCCUUAGGUUCGGAAUAACUCCCCGACAGGGGUGCUAAUACCGGAUAAUGUCUUCGGCCCAAAGAUUUAUCGCCUUUGGAUGGGCCCGCGUUGGAUUAGCUAGUUGGUAGGGUAAAAGCCUACCAAGGCGACGAUCCAUAGCUGGUCUGAGAGGAUGAUCAGCCACACUGGGACUGAGACACGGCCCAGACUCCUACGGGAGGCAGCAGUGGGGAAUAGUGGACAAUGGGCGAAAGCCUGAUCCAGCAAUGCCGCGUGAGUGAUGAAGGCCUUAGGGUUGUAAAGCUCUUUUACCCGGGAUGAUAAUGACAGUACCGGGAGAAUAAGCUCCGGCUAACUCCGUG